This 253-nucleotide ribosomal RNA is filed under the name uncultured bacterium. RNAcentral describes it as "partial 16S ribosomal RNA". It matches the Rfam family "Bacterial small subunit ribosomal RNA", at positions 524 to 776 of the family's 1533-position model. The record is from RNAcentral.
UACGUAGGGGGCUAGCGUUGUCCGGAAUCAUUGGGCGUAAAGAGCGUGUAGGCGGCCCGGUAAGUCCGCUGUAAAAGUCAAAGGCUCAACCUUUGAAUGUCAGUGGAUACUGCCGGGCUAGAGUCCGGAAGAGGCGAGUGGAACUCCUGGUGUAGCGGUGGAAUGCGCAGAUAUCAGGAAGAACACCAACGGCGAAGGCAGCUCGCUGGGACGGAACUGACGCUGAGGCGCGAAAGCGUGGGGAGCAAACAGG